Molecule: unclassified non-coding RNA, 320 nt
Filed under: Hevea brasiliensis (rubber tree)
Lineage: Eukaryota; Viridiplantae; Streptophyta; Magnoliopsida; Malpighiales; Euphorbiaceae
Source: RNAcentral
GAAGAGCUGCAAGGACCAAAGACAGGGGCAUUAACAGGAGUGACUGCAGCACCAUUCAAUGCUAAUAAAUAGCAUGUCAGUAACAAAAUUAAAGUACAGAGGAUUAUAAAAUGGUUGGAUGCCCAGAUUUUAAGGAGAUAUAUACUGCAGAGCAUAGCUCGUCAAUUGACAGAAGCCAAAUAGUUUCAGAGGCAUUCCAAUUGCUACAUCUGACCAAUGAGCAUAGAAAAUUUCACAAUAAUUGCAUUUUUCAGACAUCAUCAGCAAACUUUUUUUCCAAGAAAAUGCCACAAAUCCCCAGGACUUACCAAACACAUCCU